Molecule: ribosomal RNA, 406 nt
Filed under: uncultured bacterium
Lineage: Bacteria
Description: partial 16S ribosomal RNA
Rfam family: Bacterial small subunit ribosomal RNA
Source: RNAcentral
AUUGAACGCUGGCGGCAGGCCUAACACAUGCAAGUCGAACGAGUGGCGGACGGGUGAGUAAUGUCUGGGCAACUGCCUGAUGGAGGGGGAUAACUACUGGAAACGGUAGCUAAUACCGCAUACCAUCGGAUGUGCCCAGAUGGGAUUAGCUAGUAGGUGGGGUAACGGCUCACCUAGGCGACGAUCCAUAGCUGGUCUGAGAGGAUGACCAGCCACACUGGAACUGAGACACGGUCCAGACUCCUACGGGAGGCAGCAGUGGGGAAUAUUGCACAAUGGACGCAAGCCUGAUGCAGCAAUGCCGCGUGAAUGAAGAAGGCUUUCGGGUUGUAAAGUACUGUCAGCGGGGAGGCGUUACCUGCACAAGAAGCACCGGCUAACUCCGUGCCAGCAGCCGCGGUAAUAC